This 884-nucleotide long non-coding RNA is filed under the name Mytilus galloprovincialis (Mediterranean mussel). The record is from RNAcentral. Lineage: Eukaryota; Metazoa; Mollusca; Bivalvia; Mytilida; Mytilidae.
UCCUGCAAUCACAUUUAUUUGCAUAUAUAAUACCAACACAAUAAAAUAUCUACAUAUAAAACUGAAUAUUACUGCGCUCAUUGACAAAUAACCUCUACAUAGAUUUUUAAACUGAGGUUGUCUCUUAAAAACAUUUACUUGAUGAAUGGUAGCAUUGGGUUUCAUAUUGUACAUUAAAGUUUUAUAAUUUAAAUUAAUUCGAUUUCCUUCAUUACAGAAAUAUCUUAAGUGUGUGUUGUGCAAAAAAUAACUUAUCCGAGUACCUCAAAGUGAAUUUUAGAGAAAAAAUUGUCAUAUAGUAAGUAGUACUCCUAACUAGUCCAUAAAUAUUUCUGGCAAACAAGAGUUUUUACUUUUUACAUACUUUGGGUCACAUCCCUUUCCAUCAUCAGAUUUGAAAAGUUUGAAUGCUUUUGGGACUUUUUUUCACUGAGUAAAAAUAUGAAAAUAAUGCAGAUAAAAACAGCUGGAAUGCGCAAAUAAGAUGAGAUAAGCAUUUGUAGCAAAAUUUAAAACAAUCAGUUAAAACAAUUUAUGUAACUUGUAUAUAUUUUUUUUUGUUUUUUGGGGCAAUACAGAUCAAUAUAAUUCUGGAUCAUCUGACAACAGAUGCAAAAAUACAUUUUCAAUAGAAUUCAGAACUGAAAUCAACAUAAAAGUAAACAGGUACUUUUUAGUGGGUUUGUUUUGGUUUAAUUCUUAUGUGUACAGCAAAAGUAUUUUAUACUUGCAACAAUGUUUGGGUAACCAAUUUAGUUUGCUAUUAAUGCUAUUUACAUAUGUAUUGAAAGUUAAUUGAAAAAAAUAUAACUUAUUCUAACAUACAAUAACACCUAAUAGAGUAAACUUAUUUUUAGAUUUUCAGGUAUGAAUAUAUUACCAUA